GAGGGCUUAAUAAAAUUAUUAUACUGCUUUGUCAAAACAGAAUCGCGGGUUAGACCCCCGCAUCCCUUU
This 69-nucleotide transfer RNA is filed under the name Callionymus reticulatus (reticulated dragonet). RNAcentral's name for it is "tRNA-Asp". It matches the Rfam family "tRNA". From Rfam's summary of the family: Transfer RNA (tRNA) molecules are approximately 80 nucleotides in length. Their secondary structure includes four short double-helical elements and three loops (D, anti-codon, and T loops). Lineage: Eukaryota; Metazoa; Chordata; Actinopteri; Syngnathiformes; Callionymidae. The record is from RNAcentral.